AGGAAAACAAGCUCAGGGCUCCCAUUGAUUCUACAUUAUGCACUUGCUACAGGGGAAGUGAACUGCUAUGUCCUGAGAUAACUGAGAGGUUGUGGAGAGUGACUCCAUGAGUCUGUGGAGAGGUCAAUAUGACAAAGAACUGAAGCUUGCCAAUAGCCAUUUGAGUGAGCUUGGAAGUGGACCUUUCCCCAGGCUGACUCAUGACUGAUGACUCCAGGGAAAAAUCAAGACACAGG
Molecule: long non-coding RNA, 236 nt
Filed under: Homo sapiens (human)
Lineage: Eukaryota; Metazoa; Chordata; Mammalia; Primates; Hominidae
Description: HSALNT0337195
Source: RNAcentral